Molecule: ribosomal RNA, 492 nt
Filed under: uncultured bacterium
Lineage: Bacteria
Description: partial 16S ribosomal RNA
Rfam family: Bacterial small subunit ribosomal RNA
Source: RNAcentral
AGUGAACGCUGGCGGUAGGCCUAACACAUGCAAGUCGAACGGCAGCACAGUAAGAGCUUGCUCUUACGGGUGGCGAGUGGCGGACGGGUGAGGAAUACAUCGGAAUCUACUUUUUCGUGGGGGAUAACGUAGGGAAACUUACGCUAAUACCGCAUACGACCUACGGGUGAAAGCAGGGGAUCUUCGGACCUUGCGCGAUUGAAUGAGCCGAUGUCGGAUUAGCUAGUUGGCGGGGUAAAGGCCCACCAAGGCGACGAUCCGUAGCUGGUCUGAGAGGAUGAUCAGCCACACUUGAACUGAGACACGGUCCAGACUCCUACGGGAGGCAGCGGUGGGGAAUAUUGGACAAUGGGCGCAAGCCUGAUCCAGCCAUACCGCGUGGGUGAAGAAGGCCUUCGGGUUGUAAAGCCCUUUUGUUGGGAAAGAAAAGCAGCAGGUUAAUACCCCGCUGUUCUGACGGUACCCAAAGAAUAAGCACCGGCUAACUUCGUG